GGGGCACAAGCUCCGAAAGCAACACAUACCAACUGAAACAAGCCCAAAGACUACAAAACAUCCAAGUCAUACUGAAGGUGGCUAAAGACGAUAUUGCAGACAUUGUCUUAUUAUGGGAUUUAAGUUUUAAUUUACUUCUUUGCUGUAAAUUCCCCUUUCAGAACACAUCUUGGUCUGAAUGUCCUUCUUGUGAAUUUUCUUUUCUGGCACAGUUUAUGAACUGUGAAGUUUAUGUAGAUGUUCCAUGCAUUUAUAGCAUAUAUCUCGAGAAAUUUAUGUAAUUAUGUACCGCGCAUGUGUAGCGGAUAUGUCGUGAAGGUUAUGUACAAGUACCUUGCAAGUAUAGCGAAUGCGUGGUGAAGGUUAUGUGCAUGUACCGUGCAUAGGUCGUGAAGGUUAUAACCAAGUACCGUGCAUGUUUAGUGACAGUGUCGUCAAGGUUAUGUGCAUGUACCGUGCAUGUAUAGUGAAUGUGUCGUGAAGAUUAUGUGCAAGUACCGUGCAAGUAUAGCGAAUGUGUGGUGAAGUUUAUGUGCAAGUACCGUGCAUGUAUAGUGGAUGUGUCGUGAAGGUUAUGUGCAAGUACCGUGCAGAUAUAGUGAAGGUUAUGCGCAAGUACCGUGCGUGUAUAGUGGAUGUGUCGUGAAGGUUAUGUGCCAGUACCGUACCUGUAUAGUGAAUGUGUCGUGAAGGUUAUGUGCAAGUACCGUGCAGGUAUAGUGAAGGUUAUGUGUAAGUACCGUGCCUGUAUAGUGGAUGUGUCGUGAAGGUUAUGUGCAAGUACCGUGCAGGUAUAGUGAAUGUGUCGUGAAGGUUAUGUGCAAGUACCGUGUACGUAUUGU
Haliotis rubra (blacklip abalone) is the source of this 842-nucleotide long non-coding RNA. RefSeq lists it as uncharacterized. The transcript is spliced from 3 exons. Lineage: Eukaryota; Metazoa; Mollusca; Gastropoda; Lepetellida; Haliotidae. The record is from RefSeq and is a predicted model, not a curated record.